GAGUUUGAUCUUGGCUCAGGAUGAACGCUGGCGGCGUGCCUAACACAUGCAAGUCGAGCGAUCUUCUUCGGAAGAGAGCGGCGGACGGGCGAGUAACGCGUGGGUAACCUGCCCUGUACACACGGAUAACAUACCGAAAGGUAUGCUAAUACGAGAUAAUAUGCUUUUAUCGCAUGGUAGAAGUAUCAAAGCUUUUGCGGUACAGGAUGGACCCGCGUCUGAUUAGCUAGUUGGUAAGGUAACGGCUUACCAAGGCGACGAUCAGUAGCCGACCUGAGAGGGUGAUCGGCCACAUUGGAACUGAGACACGGUCCAAACUCCUACGGGAGGCAGCAGUGGGGAAUA
This 345-nucleotide ribosomal RNA is filed under the name uncultured bacterium. Its description in RNAcentral is "bacterial SSU rRNA". It matches the Rfam family "Bacterial small subunit ribosomal RNA", at positions 9 to 363 of the family's 1533-position model. The record is from RNAcentral.